GGCUUAGUGGAUUAGUGGUUAGCACGUUUGCCUCACACCUCCAGGGUCAGGGUUCGAUUCCCACCCUGGCCCU
This is a non-coding RNA of Ameiurus melas (black bullhead), 73 nucleotides long. The record is from the annotation of a GenBank genome assembly. NCBI's taxonomy places the organism in Eukaryota, Metazoa, Chordata, Actinopteri, Siluriformes, Ictaluridae.